GGUAAGGUCCCGCCUCCCGUUGGUGGUCUCCGGCUUCGUUAGGUGCGGGCUGGGCUCCUAAACACUGCACCCCACCCAGCUGCCUCUGCCUUUCCACCUGUUUAUCGAGAAACCUCACAGAGCAUCUCUACGCUGCUGAGUCCUGGGAACCCUGCCCAGUGAGCCCAGGCGCUGCCCUUGGGAUGCUCAGGCAGGGACAACGCUGAUUCGAGGAUCCCGGAACCUAGCAUGAGACCUGGUACAGGGAAGAUGUCAGAAAAAGCUUAUUGACUUCCUCAAGGCUCCGGGCACACUGCCUUGAUUGGGAAGGCCAACUGCUGUAACAAACACCCCUGAUCUCCGUGGCUCAACAUGAUAAAAGGACGUUUUUUGCUCAAAGUCCAGUGUGGCUGUUCCUACUUGAUAACUCUCUUGGGCAGUCCUGAUCAAGGCUCUCUACCCCCAUCUUGUGCUGCUCAUGUCUUCACCCUAGGCCUCCAAGGUUCCUGGGAAAGAGGAGAAUUCUCUUCCCUCUGACCCCUCAAGUCUCUGCCCAUCCCACAUCCCGGCACCCUCAAGUCUAAUGGCCACCUGUACUCCAUCCCAACCAGGCCAGAGUGUCACGGCCAUCAAUCCCACCUCCGACCUUUGCUUAAACUGUUGCCCCACCCAUCUGGGGACCCUCUAUGGCCAGCACAGCCUCUGUCCUCCAGGCGAGCCACCUGGUGCCUCAGUACACAGCACUGGUGUAGCCCGGUCUAAUCGCUGAGGGCUGUGGCCAUGGCACUGAGCUGCCAAGCUGGCCCCCAACAAUCUCACCUCCUGAUGUCCACACCCUUGUAUGGAGUGUGACCUAGACUUGGUGACUCACAUCUGAUCAAUAGAGUAAGGCAGAAUCCGUGACGUGUGACUCGGAGGCUAGAUCAGACAGGGCAGUGUGGCCUCUCUCUCUCUACUCGCUUGCUCUGGAAGGAGCCGUGUCAUUGGCAGCCCUAUGGAGAGGCCCACGUAGUGAGGGACGGAAGCCUCCUGCCAACAGCCACAUGGCUGAGCUUGGGAGGGGAUCGCCCCCCCCACCGCCACCCUCAAGUCUUCCAGGACUGCAGCCCUAGCCAACAGCUGGGCUGCAGCCUCGUGAGAAGCCUGAGCCAGAACCCCUCUGCAAAGACACUUGCAGACUCCUGACCCUCCAAAACGGCGAGACAAUAAAUGUUUGUUAAAAGCAACAGGUUUUGGGGGAUUUGUUAUAUAUACAGCAAUAGAGAACUAGUUCAGUCACCUCCAGAGGCAAAGUCUGGGUCUUCUCCCCUCAUCCCUGCCCCAGGCCUAGUGUGUGCUGGACUAAAGGAGGCAUGUGAGAGUUCAUUUAUGCAACCAGGCCGCGUUUGCUGGGGCUGCAGAGGUGCACCAGGCCCUGCGCUGGUGCUGGGAUGGGGCUUAGGGCGACAAGGAUGGAGUCUUGGCCCUCGGGGGCUUCCUAGUCCACUGGGAGACAGAAGAGUCACUCACCCCUUAAUGACCAUGGCCCUUUCACCCCAAAAACUAAUCCGAAAGAGGGGUAACUAACUCUGAUUCAGGGCAGUGGGGUGGGAGAGCGGAGUGUGAGGGUGGGUGAGGUGUGCUGAGGUUUGACAAAGGAGGUGACCUUUGCGGGUCGGUGACGUUGACUAGGUCGAGGAGGAAGAGCAUUUUGGGGAAGGGGAACAGCGUGCCUCGGAACACAGCAGAUGCAAGAGCAGCAUGUGGUCAGCAAUCAGUGAAGGAUGUACAGG
This is a long non-coding RNA of Equus caballus (horse), 1751 nucleotides long. Lineage: Eukaryota; Metazoa; Chordata; Mammalia; Perissodactyla; Equidae. The record is from Ensembl.